RNAcentral lists this long non-coding RNA (651 nucleotides) under Canis lupus familiaris (dog). RNAcentral's name for it is "lncRNA (ENSCAFG00845007478.1)". The record is from RNAcentral. Lineage: Eukaryota; Metazoa; Chordata; Mammalia; Carnivora; Canidae.
CAUGUGCUGUGCAGAGGCAGCUGUGGAGGUGCUGCUUCCUGCGGCUCCCACGACGAGCCGCCUGGCGCUCCCACCACGCACGAGCGGCCUUGCGUCUGCCUCGAUGGGGCCUCGGGUGGGGCCGGACGGGCUGGUGCAGCGCAUGGGUGCAGGGAGCAUGCAGGUGGAGACGCACUGGCUCCCGGGGCAGCCUCUGGUUUGAAGCAGGUUUGCCUUCUCCACCAGGUGCCUCCUGGGAAGCCCGGGCAGAUGGUCCUCGGAGGAAGAAGCUCUGGGGCUGGUGCGGGCCUGGGCCUCUCUCCGGUACCGCAUUGUGAGUUCCCUUCUCCAGGCUACUAUGAAAAUAGGAAGGAUACGACAUAUUCACGACUCUGUGAACUAAGACAGAUUCAAUUUGCUGACAAGUCUGAUCGAUGUCAGGGUCUCAAGUAAAAAGGAAUUUUAUUCUGCUUUGACUUGAUCAUAUGACGUUUCCUGACGUUCUAUACGAAGACACAACGACGGUCUUGGUUUCGAAGAUAAGGUCGUAGUCCUGUCGUUCUACGGAGCACGUCCUCACUCCUCAAGGGCGUGAUUUCUUGCCUUACGAACGUGUCUGCGCAUCCAGGCUUUGAAAGCAUGUUUUCCUCAAUUUUCUGAGUCGGGGGCACC